Molecule: ribosomal RNA, 558 nt
Filed under: uncultured bacterium
Lineage: Bacteria
Description: bacterial SSU rRNA
Rfam family: Bacterial small subunit ribosomal RNA
Source: RNAcentral
GACGAACGCUGGCGGCGUGCCUAAUACAUGCAAGUCGAGCGGAUGAGAAAGGAGCUUGCUCCUUUCGAUUCAGCGGCGGACGGGUGAGUAACACGUGGGCAACCUGCCUGUAAGACUGGGAUAACUCCGGGAAACCGGGGCUAAUACCGGAUAACUCAUGAGACUGCAUAGUCUGAUGAUAAAAGAUGGUUAUGCUAUCACUUACAGAUGGGCCCGCGGCGCAUUAGCUAGUUGGUGAGGUAACGGCUCACCAAGGCGACGAUGCGUAGCCGACCUGAGAGGGUGAUCGGCCACACUGGGACUGAGACACGGCCCAGACUCCUACGGGAGGCAGCAGUAGGGAAUCUUCCGCAAUGGACGAAAGUCUGACGGAGCAACGCCGCGUGAGCGAUGAAGGCCUUCGGGUCGUAAAGCUCUGUUGUUAGGGAAGAACAAGUAUGAGUUAACUGCUCAUACCGUGACGGUACCUAACGAGAAAGCCACGCUAACUACGUGCCAGCAGCCGCGGUAAUACGUAGGUGGCAAGCGUUGUCCCGAUUUAUUGGGCGUAAAGCGCGC